This 9042-nucleotide long non-coding RNA is filed under the name Citrus x clementina. RNAcentral's name for it is "Citrus clementina (C. clementina) long non-coding RNA (CCLE_LNC004110)". The record is from RNAcentral. Lineage: Eukaryota; Viridiplantae; Streptophyta; Magnoliopsida; Sapindales; Rutaceae.
UGUAAAAGAGAGUAAAUUAAUGUUGGAGUAGUAAAUUAUAAGAAGAAAUUGUAAAUAAAGUAAAAACUUAGAAAAAUGACAUAAAAUUUAUAAAUUGACAUCAAGUCUAAAAUAAAAUAAAAAAUAUGUAAACUACACGUAAGACUAAUAAAUUAAUAGAAAAUAGGGUAAAUUAAUGUUAGAGUUGUAAAUUACAAGAAAAUAUUGUAAACAAAACAAAAACUUAGCAAAAUGACAUAAAACUUGUAAAUUGACAUUAAAUCUAAAAUAAAAUAAUAAAAUGGGUAAACGAUAUAUAAAACUAGUAAAUUGAUGGAAAAGUAGGUAUUAAUGUUGAAGUAGUAAACUAGUCUUCAAAAUUAUAAAUAACACAAAAGCUUGUAAAUAUCGCAGAAAACUUUUGAAUCAACAUUAAGUGGCAAAUAACACAUUAAUCUUGUAAAUCACACACAAGGACUAGUAAAUUGAAGGAAAAAGUGGUAAAUUAAUAUUGGAGUUGUAAAUUGCUCUUUGGAAUUGUAAACAAAAAAAAAACUUUGAAAAAUGAAAUAAAUCUUGUAAAUUACCAUUAAGUGUGAAAUGAAAUAAAAAUUUUGUAAACCACACAUAAAAUUAGUAAAUUGAUGAAAAAUAGAGUAAAUUAAUAUUGGAGUUGUAAAUUGACAUUAAGUUUGAAAUAAAAAAAUGCGUAAACCACACAUAAAAUUAGUAAAUUGAUGGAAAAGAGAGUAAAUUAAUAUUGGAGUUAUAAAUUACAAGAAGAAAUUGUAAAUUUAACCAAAACGUAUAAAUCGACAUUAAGUCUAAAAUAAAACAAAAAAUGUGUAAAUCACACAUAAGACUAGUAAAUUGAUUGAAAAUGUAGUAAAUUAAUGACUAGAGUAGUAAAUUACAAGAAAAAAUUGUAAACAAAACAAAAGCUUAGAAGAAUGAUAUAAAACUUAUAAAUUGACAUUAAGUCUAAAAGAAAACAAAAAAUGUGUAAACCAUACAUAAAACUAACAAAUUGAUAGAAAACAAGGUAAAUAAAUGUUGGAGUUUUAAAUUGGUCUUUAGAAUUGUAAAUAAGACAAAAAUUUUAAAUAUCGCAUAAAGCUUGUAAAUCAACAUUAAGUGGCAAAUAACACAUUAAUCUUGUAAAUCACACAUAAAACUAGUAAAUGUAACUUGCAACUUGAACAAAAAAGAAUAAUUACCUGCUACUUACGUAACAUGUUACCUAUUUAUUUAGAAUUAAUGGUGGUGACUCUUAUGGCAUUAAUGCCAUAAUUUUAAUUACGACAUUAUAGAAUGACUCAUUUCCAUUAAAAAACCUGGUUGUAAGUUAAAAUUAAUGUAACUUAGGGACAUCUUUAUUACUUCCACUUAAUUGCUUAAGAAAAUGCUUUUUUCAGUUGUAGGCCUUCUGCGGUUACCUAUGGGAUUUUGAUUAAAGUCUUUUGACUGAAAUGGAUGAUCAAGGUUCAAAGUCCAAUCUGGUAACAUUUCCUUUGUAUGCUGAUGAACCAUGCAGGGAUGACAAAGAUAAAAGUUCUAAAUCUAUUUAUUCCCACUAUUAGAAAAAUGAGCUUUACUGACACUUCGUUACUGACACUUUGCAAAAAGUGUCAGUACUUAUGUACAUAUGCACCAUUUUCCGCUUUUGACAAAUAGGAAUCAGAGAUUAAUGAUACUAGGGUGUCAGUAAACUAAAUAUAAAAAAUCACUAACACUAAAGUAUCAACCAGUUAAGAGUGUACGUGGCGUUGUUAUACCAGAACUACAACAGUUAAAACUGUACUUUGGACCAGUAGUCCGCAAGCUCGGGUUUCUAGCCGAUAUACCUCUGUAAUCAAAACCUUUAAAACAUUUUUUCUCAGGUUAUACAACCCAAAACAGACUUCUCUUUAGUCUAAAACAGGGUACCAAACCAGAUAAGAAAUGAUCAAAAGUUUUCCGAUGCACAGGAUCCUUACUAGAAGGCAAGUGCAGAGCAUACUUCCUUAGGUUUUCAAAAUGAACAAAUUUUAUCCUUUAUUCUUUUUCUUUCUUAGAACUUCAUUUGCAGAGAGAGAGAAGAGGUUUAGGGAUUCAUGGAAGAAAACACACGAGUUUUUUUUUCUUGGAAAUUUUUUUUCUUAUUUCUUCUAUCUUACAAGCAAGGGGAGAAUCCUUUAUAUAGAGGAGGACUCUUGAGAAGAUAGGACAAGACCCCUAUCUUUUACAAAAGCAAAAGCAAAAGGUAAGAUAGGACAGGACCCCUAUCUUUUACAUAAUGGCACAACUUUAAUUAUUACAAAAGACAAAAGUGCUUUAAUAAUUAAAGCAUGACUUUGACAAAAGCAAAAGCAAAGGCUUAAAGUAAAAGCAAACUUUAAUAAUUAUGCAAGCAUAAAGCGAAACAUCAUUAUGGCAACAAGACAAACUACUUUAUGGAGAGCGGAGGUUCAUGUACUCGUCUUCGGAUGAGCUUUCUGUCUCAUAUGGGUUGUCAGGGUUGCUUUUUGGGAAAAAGGUCUUGGAGAGCUUUGGAUGCUUACAGUGGGGACCACGGCAAGGUGGAUAAGGGCAAUUAUAGUCUAUGGGAGUACACUUUGGAGUAUACUUAGGGGAAGUUUGGGUGGCUUUAUCAACUUUGAAUGGUUGAGCUGGUCGUUUGGAAGAUUGGGUUGAGGGUCCUGGUUCAGAGGGGCCAGGUUCAUCCAUUGUUGGUUGGGGAAACUGGUGAAGGUGUUGGCUCAGAGGGAGAAAUGCAUCCCAUGGGUCUUGGGAAUCCUGAAACAAGAAAUCAGUGUAGUCUGGUUUUUCUUCUUUGAUGAUGAUACCUGUAGACUUUGGUUUGGAUACGGCGGAUGGAGUGGGGAUCAUGAGGAGGUCAUGUUGUGGACCUAAGGAGGUGUGGGAGAUAUCUUUAAGUGGCGGAGGUUGGUGGUUCAGUUGGCAAAGGUAGUUAUGCAGGACAUCUUGUAUGUCAUUUUCAAUUACAGCUAUAUGUGGGGCAGUGAACCAUUCAUAUACCUGGUCUUGAGUCCAAAAGAGUUUGGUGUCUGGGUGUUGGAAGUAUGGCCUGUGAAUAAUAAAGACUGAUGUGAACAGUGGUGCUUCAGGGGCAGGCAUACUAUCAAGGUUGUAAAUAUCUGACAGUUGUUGCAGCUUCUUUCUCCACCAUGGUAUGGGGGAAAACCAUUCAAGUAAUGUCUAGGUAAGAGAGGUGGCAUUGUCUGAAUUAAGGAGAUGCUCCAAAGUAGGAGAAAUGGGAAGGAUUAGCUUGGUGGCAUAGAGGACUGUUAGGCACCAGAUGUACCAUAACACAUCUUCAGUGGUUUCUCUGGUUGAAUCAAGGGUUAAACUUGUAAGGAACAGAUUUUCUGGGUGGAAAGUGGAAAAAGGAAAAGGGUCUGUGACAAGGUAGGCUUUCAUGAAAAAGCGAAAGAGAGCUUUUCUAGCAAAUUCUUGGAUGGCAAAAACAGAGGAGAAGGUUUUGUUGAAGGGAAAAGUUUUCUUGGUGAGAGCUUCUGGAGGUAGUGAGGUAGCCAUGGAGAUAAUUGGAAAAUGGUAGGUGGUGGAAAACAUGGUGAGAGGGUUUUCUGGUUUGGAGAGUCUGGAAAGCAUAUCAGGGAUGAGGUUCUGGGAUCCCUUUAUAUGCUUGACUGAAAAGUCAUAUUUGGAAAACCAAUCUUUUAACCUGAGUAACAUUUUUUCGGGAACAGUUUUACCUUUGAAAUGAAAGAUAUUGGGGAAGGCUGAGUUGUCCAUUCGAAUGAGAAAAUGGUGUCCAAUCAAAUGAUACUCAAACUUUUUGAUGCCAUUCUUUACCGCUAAGAUUUCUUUGAACACGCUAUGGUAGUGCUUCUGUGUGUCAGAAAAAUGUCCACUAGCGUAAGCGAUAAAGUUUUCUUUUCCGUUGAUUUCUUCAAGGAGUAUGGCACCCCAUGAUUCAUCACUUGCGUCUGUCUGUAAGAUGCGCUUGCCAUCUGUAAUCAACUUUAAAGGAGGCGGAUUUUGCGCAAUCUGCUUGAGGGUAGUGACAACAGCUGUGUGGUCAGCAUUCCAUUCUGGGGGCUUCUUUUUCAAUAAAGCCGAGAGAUGGUGAGUGUAAUGAUCCACGUGGGGGAUGAAAUCACGGAUGUAGUUGAUGAUGCCGAGAAACUGUUGAAUUUGCCUUUUGGAAAGUUGCUGAUCUGGAAAGUGAAGCAAUUCUUGGGCAAUGUGCUUUCCUGGCUGGUAGUGUCCAUCUUUUAUGAUCAUACCAAGGAAUUCAACAUUAUUUGUAGCAAUGAUGCUUUUCUUGGCCGAUAACAUGAUUCAAUGACUUUGGAGAAUAUCAUAGAAUUGAGUUAACAGUUGGCGAUGUUCAUCAUGUGAGCCUGAAAAAAGUAAGAUAUCAUCAAUAUAAAUCAAUGCAUGAUGCAAAAUGGGUUGGAAGAUUUGGACCAUGGAUUUUUGGAAAAUGGAUGGGGCAGUUUUGAGACCAAAGGGUAGGACGGUCCAUUGGAAAUGGGCAUUGGGAAUACAAAAAGCGGUUUUGUAACGUUCGGAGGGUUCAAUGCCUAGUUGCCAAAAACCUGAUUUUAAAUCAAAUUUUGAAAAGAUCUGGGCAUUUUUGAGAAAAGUGAACAUGCUUUGUCGACGAGGUAGUGGGAAUUUGUCAUCUUGUAAAAACAUGUUUAAUGGUUGGUAGUCAAUGACUAGGCGUUUCUUUCCUCGGAUAAUUUCGGAAUGCUUUUCAACAUAAAAGGCUUGGCAAGCCCAUUGAGAACUUGUGGGCUCAAUUAAACCUUGGGCUAACAACUGUGAACAUUCUUGUUGGGCUAGGAGUAAGUCAGAAUGACUCAUUCCUGGAUGGGUAGCUUUGGUUGGGUUAAUAUCUUCAUUGAUUUUGAAGGGUAACGUAAUGAAGAAAGACUUAUUUUUCCACAAAGGAUUUGGAUGGGUGAACUCAGAAUGGGACUCUGGACAGAAACUCAAAAGUUUGGUUGAAAUAUCCUGGUAGGACUGGGGAGUUUCAGACAAAUUGUAGAGUUUCAGAAUGUCUGUGAAUGGUUUGAACAUGGACUUGACUCGGAUUCCAGUGGGAAUGAUUUGGAGGUGUUUGAUUUGGUGAAGGAUGUUAAAUUCUAACAAGAUAUCCUUAUUAGGAAGAGUUGAACCAAUAACUUUGGUCCAAAUGACACAAUUUGGGAAGAUUUGAAUACCAAUUGGUUUUUUGGUAAUCAAAGAGGUGGUAAAGAGUUUGCCAUUGACAGCUUUGAAAUGUUCUUCAGACUGGGUCCAAUAUUCUGAUGGAAGAAUAUGGGGGUUUAACAUGCUGCGUUGGGCGCCAGUAUCUAUAAGACCAAUUGCUGGAAUGGGCCUUUGGAAUUUUGAGGGCAAGAUCUGGAGUUUGAUGGAUGGGACAGGAAUUGUAGUAUCAAGGGAGAGUAACUGUUGGUGGAAAAUCACUUGAGACCGGUCACUGUCUGAAUCAGAGGAAUUCUGUAGUGCGAACACUGUUUCAUCAUUGGGCUCAUCUUGUUCAGAGAAAUAGAAUUCCAGCUCAUCUUUGGCAGGGGAGUAGUCGGUAGUUGCUUGAAGAUGCUCAACUAACCGGAUGGAUUUUUCUCUUUUGUUGGGGCAAUCUUUGGCAUAGUGGCCUUUUCUCUUGCAGAUGAAACAUCUGCUUGAUUGCUUUCGUUUGAAUUCUCUAGAGGAGGAAGAUUUCUUUCUGAAGAAUCGGUAGGGCUUUCGGGAUCUGCGAGGCUUGGAGGAAAAUUCUGGAGGUUUGAAUUUCCGAAAAUGCCGUUUUUUCUUUGAACUGCAAUCGCAAUGCUUUUGCUUGUGGCAUUUGAUCUGCAAAUAAGGCUUUUUGCAAGCACUUCGGAAAGGUUCUUUGUCUUUCAACAGUUCUUUGAAAAACUAUUUUUGCUCGUAAAGUUUGUCAAGACAAGUUUUGGCAAGCUGUAAGAUUUUGCCAAGAGAGAUGUUGUCUAGGGAAAGAUUGGAUGCUGUGAGUUGUCUCUGGAUGUUGGGUUGGAGUUCUUCGGGAAGGGAAGCCAGAAAGACAUGCUUUAAUGUCGGCUCAUUGAAUCCAUUAAGCUUAUAGAAUAGCAGGGACAUCCGCUUAUAAUGGAAGUCAAGAUCCUUAGCAUUGAGGGAGCAGCAUUUCAUGUUGAGAUAAUCUCGUCUGGCAGCUUCAAAGACUGCAGAAGGGUCUCCAAGGAAUUGAUCAUGAAGUACAGCAAGAGCACUUGAGACUUCUGGGAGAUCAACAAACUGUAGUUGGCGGUAUUGUCCUAACGAAUCAAACCAAUCUCUUAGAGCACCCGUGAAACGAGUAGCAAAUUCUCUAAGGACUGAUUGAGUUGUUGCUCCUGGUCUUAGCAUCUGGAGGUCAAUCCAGGCAUACAUUUCAUUGAGUCGGUCACGCCAUUUAUGAGAUAGAAGAUCAUCAAAUGUGAACCAUGGGCCAUUUGACGAUUUUUGGCUCGAUGGAUUGGUCUGGGUUGGAGGAGGUUGGUUUGUGGCAGAAGAUUCAGGCAUUUCUUCUUCAACUUUGGAGGGAAUAUCAACAUAUGGUUCUGUAUGAGAGGUUUGGCUUUGGGUAGGUUGAUCAGGUUGAGCCAUCAGGAUUUUGGUGAUAUCAGCAUAGGACUUUUCAGAGUCACUGGUGGAUACUGAAGAUUCUGUAUCAGUUUCGGUAGGGCUAUCUGAAACAGCUGGAUUUGAAUCAGAAGUUUGAUCGACUGUAGUAGAUGAAUGGGUGACUGUGUGAGUAGUAAAUUGGUGCAUGGGUUCUUUAUCCUUAGAUUGGGUAGGGACUGAUAAUGGAGCUAGUGGUGAUGCCGGUGUAGGACUAGGAGAUGGUUGGCCAGGGAUGGUCAAUGAGGAAGGAUGAAGAGGUGCAGGGCGAGGCUGCGGUCUAGGUUUGGGUUUAGGUUUAGGUGGUGGAGGCAAAGGAUUGUCUCUGAAAAGAGUAUGAGUCAUACCAAAUAACUUGGAAGGGUCAUACUGUUUAAUAGGAGAAAGCAUAGAGGCAAAAGGAUGAUAAGUUGGACCGAUGGAAGGGAUAGGAGGUGAAGUGGUGAAAAGGGUAGGUCUCUGUUUUUCAGACUCAAUCUGGGCAAGUUUAGCUUUUAAGCGUCUGAUUUCCCUUUCUUUUUGGUCAAAUUCGGGGCCUGAGUAACGAUGGGCAAGCAUGGCUCGUAACUCAGAGUCAAGUUGAGAAAUUCUGGACUGGAGGUUUUGGUAGAUCUGCUGCAUCUGUGCAGUGAUGGAGUCAACUUUUGUCUCAAUCUGUUCAGUUCGCAAACUGAUGUUCUCAACUUUUGAAUUGAGAUGCAACAAGGUAUCAUUUUGGGCCCUGGCAUUUUAAGUUUGCAAGUUGAGGACUGAUUCAAAGGGUUUAUGGGGCUCCAGGUGGCCAGUGGAUGUAAUAGGUGAAGGGAUAAAGGGUUUUGACACAACAUUUCGUUGGGGAUCUAUGUGGGGUUCCAAAGAAGGAAAGGAAGAAGAGUAAUCGGAAGAGGUAGAGGAAAACAUCAUACAAGCCAGUGGUUGGACGAUAGGUGUUGAGUGUGAGAGGGGUGAUGGAAUCUCAGAUUUGCAAUGUUUGGCAAUCCAUUUGAGUUCUUUUCGGUAGAUGGGUAAUGGAGUCGGUGGAGGUGGAGGAUCUGAUGGUGGUUUAGGGUCACAGUGGUGACAUGGGAUAGGAGGUUUUUUCUUUUUGGGUUUCUUUUUCCUUGUGGUUGCGUAAUCAUCGUCUUCAUCCCAAUCAUCCCAGCAGGGACAAUUUGGGUCACACAUGCCGGAACCAGGGGUAUCCCAUAGGAAAUGGCCAUUGUAUUUGGCUGGAUAAACAGGGUAACCUUCAGAAUUAAACCCUGUAAUGGGCAGAUCUUCUUGGGCUGUCUGAACAGCUGUGAUCAUUGAGGAAUGAGUAAAGGAGAGCCGAGGAGGCUCUUGUGGAGCACUUGGAGGUGGUUUAAAAGUCAUUCUGACUGUUCCAUCUUGUCUUCGUUCGAACAUACUUUCGGAUGUCUGAAUGGGAGCUGUAUUAUUGUGGAACUGUUCGUAGUUGGAGAUCCAUUCAAGAGGCAUAAGCUUGAUGAGCUCAUGACGAGGAAUUUGUCGUGGGAUCUGGAUGAUUGUCGGGAUCUGGUCAGAUUCUGCUAACACCAUGAGGGUGUCAGAGUGGUGUUCUGGUGUGGGUAGAUCUAAGGCAUGAUUUUGAAGCCUAUAGACCAGUUGGUGGUGUAAGGUAGCAAUUUUGGCGGAAGAAAUUUGUUCAGCACCUUGAAUUUGGAUUUGGACCUUCAAGGUUGUGGGUAAGUUGGGAUCUUGGAGAGAAAGGUUGAAGUUGGGAUAGAAAGUGAGUAAAACACUUCCUGCAUGAAGGGUUGUAAGGACAGUGCCUAUGACAGCAUCUUGGUAUUGUUUAAACCGGGUAUCAAGCAUAGCAAGGCGAGCUGUAACUGAUAAUCCUUUUCUUCCGUGAAGGGUAAGGAUUAAUUUGAUGCCUCCAAGGUGGAGAUGAGUGUAACCUUCUCGUUUCCAGUUGGAAAUCAACUCUGAGGGUAUUUCAAGAGUGACAUAUUGCUCAGCAGGGGUUGCUUGGAGUGAACACUGAUCCAGGCGAGAAGACUGGAUAUAUUCUUUAGGGUGAGGUCUUCGGGUGGAUAUGAGAGUACGGAUACUGCGAGUAAAAGAACUGGGGCGUUUAUAUAGUUGGUAAGGGCUUAUGAGAGGGUAUGAAGAUUCACUUAUCUGGGCGGAUUCAGGGAUGUAGGAGUAUUCUACAAGAUGUUCAAUUUUGUUGGCAGUAUGAGAAGUGCAAGAUUUUGGUAAGGAAAGAGUAGAAGAAAGAGUAACAGGAGUUGAAGGAGUGGAAGAUGAAGUAGAAGCCAUGAAUGAGAAAUUCUCUCUGCGUGUGAAGUCUAAUGAGCAAAACAGAAUAAAGGCAGAAAUUAUACCAUUUUGAGCAUGAAAACAAGAAUUUAGAAAACAAGUUUCAAGGAACGGUCUGGCACAAGUUUCAUAAAAAUUUUGUUUUAGCUCCAGCUCGAACCUGAGAGCUCUAAGAUUUAA